This 1664-nucleotide ribosomal RNA is filed under the name Escherichia coli. RNAcentral describes it as "partial 23S ribosomal RNA". It matches the Rfam family "Bacterial large subunit ribosomal RNA", at positions 191 to 1877 of the family's 2925-position model. Lineage: Bacteria; Pseudomonadati; Pseudomonadota; Gammaproteobacteria; Enterobacterales; Enterobacteriaceae. The record is from RNAcentral.
AACUGAAACAUCUAAGUACCCCGAGGAAAAGAAAUCAACCGAGAUUCCCCCAGUAGCGGCGAGCGAACGGGGAGCAGCCCAGAGCCUGAAUCAGUGUGUGUGUUAGUGGAAGCGUCUGGAAAGGCGCGCGAUACAGGGUGACAGCCCCGUACACAAAAAUGCACAUGCUGUGAGCUCGAUGAGUAGGGCGGGACACGUGGUAUCCUGUCUGAAUAUGGGGGGACCAUCCUCCAAGGCUAAAUACUCCUGACUGACCGAUAGUGAACCAGUACCGUGAGGGAAAGGCGAAAAGAACCCCGGCGAGGGGAGUGAAAAAGAACCUGAAACCGUGUACGUACAAGCAGUGGGAGCACAGAGCAAUCUGUGUGACUGCGUACCUUUUGUAUAAUGGGUCAGCGACUUAUAUUCUGUAGCAAGGUUAACCGAAUAGGGGAGCCGAAGGGAAACCGAGUCUUAACUGGGCGUUAAGUUGCAGGGUAUAGACCCGAAACCCGGUGAUCUAGCCAUGGGCAGGUUGAAGGUUGGGUAACACUAACUGGAGGACCGAACCGACUAAUGUUGAAAAAUUAGCGGAUGACUUGUGGCUGGGGGUGAAAGGCCAAUCAAACCGGGAGAUAGCUGGUUCUCCCCGAAAGCUAUUUAGGUAGCGCCUCGUGAAUUCAUCUCCGGGGGUAGAGCACUGUUUCGGCAAGGGGGUCAUCCCGACUUACCAACCCGAUGCAAACUGCGAAUACCGGAGAAUGUUAUCACGGGAGACACACGGCGGGUGCUAACGUCCGUCGUGAAGAGGGAAACAACCCAGACCGCCAGCUAAGGUCCCAAAGUCAUGGUUAAGUGGGAAACGAUGUGGGAAGGCCCAGACAGCCAGGAUGUUGGCUUAGAAGCAGCCAUCAUUUAAAGAAAGCGUAAUAGCUCACUGGUCGAGUCGGCCUGCGCGGAAGAUGUAACGGGGCUAAACCAUGCACCGAAGCUGCGGCAGCGACGCUUAUGCGUUGUUGGGUAGGGGAGCGUUCUGUAAGCCUGUGAAGGUGUACUGUGAGGUAUGCUGGAGGUAUCAGAAGUGCGAAUGCUGACAUAAGUAACGAUAAAGCGGGUGAAAAGCCCGCUCGCCGGAAGACCAAGGGUUCCUGUCCAACGUUAAUCGGGGCAGGGUGAGUCGACCCCUAAGGCGAGGCCGAAAGGCGUAGUCGAUGGGAAACAGGUUAAUAUUCCUGUACUUGGUGUUACUGCGAAGGGGGGACGGAGAAGGCUAUGUUGGCCGGGCGACGGUUGUCCCGGUUUAAGCGUGUAGGCUGGUUUUCCAGGCAAAUCCGGAAAAUCAAGGCUGAGGCGUGAUGACGAGGCACUACGGUGCUGAAGCAACAAAUGCCCUGCUUCCAGGAAAAGCCUCUAAGCAUCAGGUAACAUCAAAUCGUACCCCAAACCGACACAGGUGGUCAGGUAGAGAAUACCAAGGCGCUUGAGAGAACUCGGGUGAAGGAACUAGGCAAAAUGGUGCCGUAACUUCGGGAGAAGGCACGCUGAUAUGUAGGUGAAGUCCCUCGCGGAUGGAGCUGAAAUCAGUCGAAGAUACCAGCUGGCUGCAACUGUUUAUUAAAAACACAGCACUGUGCAAACACGAAAGUGGACGUAUACGGUGUGACGCCUGCCCGGUGCCGGAAGGU